RNAcentral lists this ribosomal RNA (497 nucleotides) under uncultured bacterium. RNAcentral's name for it is "partial 16S ribosomal RNA". It matches the Rfam family "Bacterial small subunit ribosomal RNA", at positions 28 to 507 of the family's 1533-position model. The record is from RNAcentral.
GAUGAACGCUGGCGGCGUGCCUAAUACAUGCAAGUCGAGCGGACGGGCGAGGAGCUUGCUUCUCUGAUGUUAGCGGAGCACGGGUGAGUAACACGUGUAUACCCUACCUAUAAGACUGGGAAAACUUCGGGAAACCGGAGCUAAUACCGGAUAAUCUUCUGAACCGCGUGGUUGGAAAGUGAGAGACGGUCGUGCGGGCACUUAUAGAUGCAUCCGCGCUGCAUUAGCUAGUUGGUAAGUUAACGGGUUACCAAGGCAACGAUGCGUAGCCGAACUGAGAGGGUGAUCGGCCACACUGGAACUGGGACACGGUCAAGACGACUACGGGACGCAGCAGAAGGGAACCUGACGCAACGGUGGAAAGUAUGACGGAGCAAGGCGGAGCCAGAUGUGACGGUCUUCGGAGCGGAAAACUGUGUUAUUAGGGAUGAACAUAUGUGUAAGGAACUGUGGACAGCGUGACGGUAAUUAAUCAGAAAGCAACGGCUAACUACGUG